GGGUUGUGAGGUUAAGCGACUAAGCGUACACGGUGGAUGCCCUGGCAGUCAGAGGCGAUGAAGGACGUGCUAAUCUGCGAUAAGCGUCGGUGAGGUGAUAUGAACCGUUAUAACCGGCGAUUUCCGAAUGGGGAAACCCAGUGUGUUUCGACACACUAUCAUUAACUGAAUCCAUAGGUUAAUGAGGCGAACCGGGGGAACUGAAACAUCUAAGUACCCCGAGGAAAAGAAAUCAACCGAGAUUCCCCCAGUAGCGGCGAGCGAACGGGGAGGAGCCCAGAGCCUGAAUCAGUGUGUGUGUUAGUGGAAGCGUCUGGAAAGGCGCGCGAUACAGGGUGACAGCCCCGUACACAAAAAUGCACAUAUUGUGAGCUCGAUGAGUAGGGCGGGACACGUGGUAUCCUGUCUGAAUAUGGGGGGACCAUCCUCCAAGGCUAAAUACUCCUGACUGACCGAUAGUGAACCAGUACCGUGAGGGAAAGGCGAAAAGAACCCCGGCGAGGGGAGUGAAAAAGAACCUGAAACCGUGUACGUACAAGCAGUGGGAGCCUCUUAAUGGGGUGACUGCGUACCUUUUGUAUAAUGGGUCAGCGACUUAUAUUCUGUAGCAAGGUUAACCGAAUAGGGGAGCCGAAGGGAAACCGAGUCUUAACUGGGCGUUAAGUUGCAGGGUAUAGACCCGAAACCCGGUGAUCUAGCCAUGGGCAGGUUGAAGGUUGGGUAACACUAACUGGAGGACCGAACCGACUAAUGUUGAAAAAUUAGCGGAUGACUUGUGGCUGGGGGUGAAAGGCCAAUCAAACCGGGAGAUAGCUGGUUCUCCCCGAAAGCUAUUUAGGUAGCGCCUCGUGAAUUCAUCUCCGGGGGUAGAGCACUGUUUCGGCAAGGGGGUCAUCCCGACUUACCAACCCGAUGCAAACUGCGAAUACCGGAGAAUGUUAUCACGGGAGACACACGGCGGGUGCUAACGUCCGUCGUGAAGAGGGAAACAACCCAGACCGCCAGCUAAGGUCCCAAAGUCAUGGUUAAGUGGGAAACGAUGUGGGAAGGCCCAGACAGCCAGGAUGUUGGCUUAGAAGCAGCCAUCAUUUAAAGAAAGCGUAAUAGCUCACUGGUCGAGUCGGCCUGCGCGGAAGAUGUAACGGGGCUAAACCAUGCACCGAAGCUGCGGCAGCGACACUAUGUGUUGUUGGGUAGGGGAGCGUUCUGUAAGCCUGUGAAGGUGUACUGUGAGGUAUGCUGGAGGUAUCAGAAGUGCGAAUGCUGACAUAAGUAACGAUAAAGCGGGUGAAAAGCCCGCUCGCCGGAAGACCAAGGGUUCCUGUCCAACGUUAAUCGGGGCAGGGUGAGUCGACCCCUAAGGCGAGGCCGAAAGGCGUAGUCGAUGGGAAACAGGUUAAUAUUCCUGUACUUGGUGUUACUGCGAAGGGGGGACGGAGAAGGCUAUGUUGGCCGGGCGACGGUUGUCCCGGUUUAAGCGUGUAGGCUGGUUUUCCAGGCAAAUCCGGAAAAUCAAGGCUGAGGCGUGAUGACGAGGCACUACGGUGCUGAAGCGACAAAUGCCCUGCUUCCAGGAAAAGCCUCUAAGCAUCAGGUAACAUCAAAUCGUACCCCAAACCGACACAGGUGGUCAGGUAGAGAAUACCAAGGCGCUUGAGAGAACUCGGGUGAAGGAACUAGGCAAAAUGGUGCCGUAACUUCGGGAGAAGGCACGCUGAUAUGUAGGUGAAGCGACUUGCUCGUGGAGCUGAAAUCAGUCGAAGAUACCAGCUGGCUGCAACUGUUUAUUAAAAACACAGCACUGUGCAAACACGAAAGUGGACGUAUACGGUGUGACGCCUGCCCGGUGCCGGAAGGUUAAUUGAUGGGGUUAGCGGUAACGCGAAGCUCUUGAUCGAAGCCCCGGUAAACGGCGGCCGUAACUAUAACGGUCCUAAGGUAGCGAAAUUCCUUGUCGGGUAAGUUCCGACCUGCACGAAUGGCGUAAUGAUGGCCAGGCUGUCUCCACCCGAGACUCAGUGAAAUUGAACUCGCUGUGAAGAUGCAGUGUACCCGCGGCAAGACGGAAAGACCCCGUGAACCUUUACUAUAGCUUGACACUGAACAUUGAGCCUUGAUGUGUAGGAUAGGUGGGAGGCUUUGAAGUGUGGACGCCAGUCUGCAUGGAGCCGACCUUGAAAUACCACCCUUUAAUGUUUGAUGUUCUAACGUGGGCCCCUUACCGGGGUUGCGGACAGUGUCUGGUGGGUAGUUUGACUGGGGCGGUCUCCUCCUAAAGAGUAACGGAGGAGCACGAAGGUUGGCUAAUCCUGGUCGGACAUCAGGAGGUUAGUGCAAUGGCAUAAGCCAGCUUGACUGCGAGCGUGACGGCGCGAGCAGGUGCGAAAGCAGGUCAUAGUGAUCCGGUGGUUCUGAAUGGAAGGGCCAUCGCUCAACGGAUAAAAGGUACUCCGGGGAUAACAGGCUGAUACCGCCCAAGAGUUCAUAUCGACGGCGGUGUUUGGCACCUCGAUGUCGGCUCAUCACAUCCUGGGGCUGAAGUAGGUCCCAAGGGUAUGGCUGUUCGCCAUUUAAAGUGGUACGCGAGCUGGGUUUAGAACGUCGUGAGACAGUUCGGUCCCUAUCUGCCGUGGGCGCUGGAGAACUGAGGGGGCUGCUCCUAGUACGAGAGGACCGGAGUGGACGCAUCACUGGUGUUCGGGUUGUCAUGCCAAUGGCACUGCCCGGUAGCUAAAUGCGGAAGAGAUAAGUGCUGAAAGCAUCUAAGCACGAAACUUGCCCCGAGAUGAGUUCUCCCUGACUCCUUGAGAGUCCUGAAGGAACGUUGAAGACGACGACGUUGAUAGGCCGGGUGUGUAAGCGCAGCGAUGCGUUGAGCUAACCGGUACUAAUGAACCGUGAGGCUUAACCUUACAACGCCGAAG
RNAcentral lists this ribosomal RNA (2924 nucleotides) under Escherichia coli. RNAcentral describes it as "bacterial LSU rRNA". It matches the Rfam family "Bacterial large subunit ribosomal RNA". The record is from RNAcentral. Lineage: Bacteria; Pseudomonadati; Pseudomonadota; Gammaproteobacteria; Enterobacterales; Enterobacteriaceae.